GACGAACGCUGGCGGCGUGCUUAACACAUGCAAGUCGAACGGAAAGGCCUCUUUCGGGGGGUACUCGAGUGGCGAACGGGUGAGUAACACGUGAGUAACCUGCCCUUGACUUUGGGAUAACUUCAGGAAACUGGGGCUAAUACCGGAUAGGAGCUCCUGCUGCAUGGUGGGGGUUGGAAAGUUUCGGCGGUUGGGGAUGGACUCGCGGCUUAUCAGCUUGUUGGUGGGGUAGUGGCUUACCAAGGCUUUGACGGGUAGCCGGCCUGAGAGGGUGACCGGCCACAUUGGGACUGAGAUACGGCCCAGACUCCUACGGGAGGCAGCAGUGGGGAAUAUUGCACAAUGGGUGGAAGCCUGAUGCAGCAACGCCGUGU
RNAcentral lists this ribosomal RNA (374 nucleotides) under uncultured bacterium. Its description in RNAcentral is "bacterial SSU rRNA". It matches the Rfam family "Bacterial small subunit ribosomal RNA", at positions 28 to 402 of the family's 1533-position model. The record is from RNAcentral.